GAUGAACGCUGGCGGCGUGCCUAAUACAUGCAAGUCGAGCGAACAGACGAGGAGCUUGCUCCUCUGACGUUAGCGGCGGACGGGUGAGUAACACGUGGAUAACCUACCUAUAAGACUGGGAUAACUUCGGGAAACCGGAGCUAAUACCGGAUAAUAUAUUGAACCGCAUGGUUCAAUAGUGAAAGACGGUUUUGCCGUCACUUAUAGAUGGAUCCGCGCCGCAUUAGCUAGUUGGUAAGGUAACGGCUUACCAAGGCAACGAUGCGUAGCCGACCUGAGAGGGUGAUCGGCCACACUGGAACUGAGACACGGUCCAGACUCCUACGGGAGGCAGCAGUAGGGAAUCUUCCGCAAUGGGCGAAAGCCUGACGGAGCAACGCCGCGUGAGUGAUGAAGGCCUUCGGAUCGUAAAACUCUGUUAUUAGGGAAGAACAAAUGUGUAAGUAACUAUGCACGUCUUGACGGUACCUAAUCAGAAAGCCACGGCUAACUACGUG
RNAcentral lists this ribosomal RNA (497 nucleotides) under uncultured bacterium. RNAcentral describes it as "partial 16S ribosomal RNA". It matches the Rfam family "Bacterial small subunit ribosomal RNA", at positions 28 to 507 of the family's 1533-position model. The record is from RNAcentral.